This 253-nucleotide ribosomal RNA is filed under the name uncultured bacterium. RNAcentral describes it as "partial 16S ribosomal RNA". It matches the Rfam family "Bacterial small subunit ribosomal RNA", at positions 524 to 776 of the family's 1533-position model. The record is from RNAcentral.
UACGGAGGGUGCGAGCGUUAAUCGGAAUUACUGGGCGUAAAGCGUGCGUAGGCGGUUUGAUAAGUCGGGUGUGAAAGCCCCGGGCUUAACCUGGGAAUUGCAUUCGAUACUGUCUGACUCGAGUCUGGGAGAGGGAAGCGGAAUUCCGGGUGUAGCGGUGAAAUGCGUAGAUAUCCGGAGGAACAUCAGUGGCGAAGGCGGCAUCCUGGACCGGCAUUGACGCUGAGGCGCGAAAUCCAGGGGAGCAAACGGG